This 1343-nucleotide ribosomal RNA is filed under the name uncultured soil bacterium. RNAcentral's name for it is "bacterial SSU rRNA". It matches the Rfam family "Bacterial small subunit ribosomal RNA", at positions 27 to 1380 of the family's 1533-position model. The record is from RNAcentral.
GGACGAACGCUGGCGGCGUGCUUAACACAUGCAAGUCAAGGGGGCCCGCAAGGGCAACCGGCGAACGGGUGCGUAACACGUGAGCAAGUUUCCUAUUAGUGGGGGAUAGCCGGCCCAACGGCCGGGUAAUACCGCAUAUCUUGAUCGGGUGGCAUCGCCUGAUCAGGAAACCUCCGGGGCUAAUAGAGGCGCUCGCGGCCUAUCAGCUAGUUGGUGAGGUAAUGGCUCACCAAGGCUAUGACGGGUAGCUGGUCUGAGAGGAUGGCCAGCCACAUUGGGACUGCGACACGGCCCAGACUCCUACGGGAGGCAGCAGUGGGGAAUAUUGCGCAAUGGACGAAAGUCUGACGCAGCGACGCCGCGUGUGGGAUGAAGCCUUUCGGGGCGUAAACCACUGUUGCCCGGGACGAACAUCCUCUUUCGAGAGGACUGACGGUACCGGGUGAGGAAGCACCGGCUAACUCUGUGCCAGCAGCCGCGGUAAUACAGAGGGUGCGAGCGUUGUCCGGAAUCACUGGGCGUAAAGGGCGCGUAGGUGGCUUGGUAAGCGUGUGGUGAAAGUCCGGGGCUCAACCCCGGAUCUGCCGUGCGAACUGCUGAGCUCGAGCAAUGUAGAGGCAGGUGGAAUUUCGGGUGUAGCGGUGGAAUGCGUAGAUAUCCGAAAGAACACCAGUGGCGAAGGCGGCCUGCUGGGCAUUAGCUGACACUGAGGCGCGACAGCGUGGGGAGCAAACAGGAUUAGAUACCCUGGUAGUCCACGCCGUAAACGAUGGGUACUAGGUGUCUGGGGGAGCGACCCCCUGGGUGCCGGCGCUAACGCAUGAAGUACCCCGCCUGGGGAGUACGGCCGCAAGGCUGAAACUCAAAGGAAUUGACGGGGGCCCGCACAAGCGGUGGAGCAUGUGGUUUAAUUCGACGCAACGCGAAGAACCUUACCUAGGCUUGACAUGCUGGAGAAAGCUCGCAGAAACGUGAGCCCCUCUUCGGAGUUCCAGCACAGAUGCUGCAUGGCUGUCGUCAGCUCGUGUCGUGAGAUGUUGGGUUAAGUCCCGCAACGAGCGCAACCCUCACUCUUAGUUACCAGCGGGUAAAGCCGGGGACUCUAGGGGGACUGCCGGUGCCAAACCGGAGGAAGGUGGGGAUGACGUCAAGUCAUCAUGGCUCUUACGUCUAGGGCUACACACGUGCUACAAUGGGCCGGACAGAGGGUCGCCAACUCGCGAGAGUGAGCCAAUCCCCAAACCGGUCCUCAGUUCGGAUUGCAGUCUGCAACUCGACCGCAUGAAGCUGGAAUCGCUAGUAAUCGUGGAUCAGCUACGCCACGGUGAAUACGUUCCCGGGCC